AUACAGAGGGUGCGAGCGUUAAUCGGAGUGACUGGGCGUAAAGGGCGCGUAGGCGGAUAUAUUAGUCUGAUGUGAAAGACCUGGGCUUAACCUGGGAUGUGCAUUGGAAACGGUAUAACUAGAGUAUGAGAGAGGGAAGUGGAAUUUCCGGUGUAGCGGUGAAAUGCGUAGAGAUCGGAAAGAACACUCGUGGCGAAGGCGACUUCCUGGCUCAAGACUGACGCUGAGGCGCGAAAGCGUGGGGAGCAAACAGGAUUAGAUACCCUGGUAGUCCACGCUGUAAACGAUGAGAACUGGAGGUAUGUUGGCGUAAGCCGAUGUGUCUCUAAGCUAACGCACUAAGUUCUCCGCCUGGGGAGUACGGCCGCAAGGUUAAA
RNAcentral lists this ribosomal RNA (377 nucleotides) under uncultured bacterium. Its description in RNAcentral is "bacterial SSU rRNA". It matches the Rfam family "Bacterial small subunit ribosomal RNA", at positions 523 to 898 of the family's 1533-position model. The record is from RNAcentral.